GACGAACGCUGGCGGCGUGCUUAACACAUGCAAGCCGAACGGUAAGGCCCUGCUUUUGUGGGGUGCUCGAGUGGCGAACGGGUGAGUAACACGUGAGUAACCUGCCCUUGACUUUGGGAUAACUUCAGGAAACUGGGGCUAAUACCGGAUAGGAGCUCCUGCUGCAUGGUGGGGGUUGGAAAGUUUCGGCGGUUGGGGAUGGACUCGCGGCUUAUCAGCUUGUUGGUGGGGUAGUGGCUUACCAAGGCUUUGACGGGUAGCCGGCCUGAGAGGGUGACCGGCCACAUUGGGACUGAGAUACGGCCCAGACUCCUACGGGAGGCAGCAGUGGGGAAUAUUGCACAGUGGGCGGAAGCCUGAUGCAGCAACGCCGCGUGCGGGAUGACGGCCUUCGGGUUGUAAACCGCUUUCGCCUGUGACGAAGCGUGAGUGACGGUAAUGGGUAAAGAAGCACCGGCUAACUACGUG
This 468-nucleotide ribosomal RNA is filed under the name uncultured bacterium. RNAcentral's name for it is "partial 16S ribosomal RNA". It matches the Rfam family "Bacterial small subunit ribosomal RNA", at positions 28 to 507 of the family's 1533-position model. The record is from RNAcentral.